RNAcentral lists this long non-coding RNA (217 nucleotides) under Medicago truncatula (barrel medic). RNAcentral's name for it is "long non-coding RNA (MTRU_LNC007267)". Lineage: Eukaryota; Viridiplantae; Streptophyta; Magnoliopsida; Fabales; Fabaceae. The record is from RNAcentral.
UGGAUAAUUUUUGAGCUCCAAAUCUAUUUUCGCACCCAAAAGCCUACCGCGAAUGCUAUCAUCGCCAUCGAAAUCUAUUGCACAACGAGUAUAAUAGUUUCUUACCGUAACAUUUCUUUGCAAAUUAAUGACAAGUUUGUAUGCAAUAUAGAAAUUGUCCUUAACCACACCAAUAGUGUAAUUUGCAAGAUCAACAAGAUCUACAUUUUUUGCUCCU